This 253-nucleotide ribosomal RNA is filed under the name uncultured bacterium. RNAcentral's name for it is "partial 16S ribosomal RNA". It matches the Rfam family "Bacterial small subunit ribosomal RNA", at positions 524 to 776 of the family's 1533-position model. The record is from RNAcentral.
UACGUAGGGUGCGAGCGUUAAUCGGAAUUACUGGGCGUAAAGCGCACGUAGGCGGCUUCUUAAGUCGGUGGUGAAAUCCCGGGGCUCAACCCCGGAACUGCCUUUGAUACUGGGUAUCUCGAGUCCGAGAGAGGUGAGUGGAAUUCCGAGUGUAGAGGUGAAAUUCGUAGAUAUUCGGAGGAACACCAGUGGCGAAGGCGGCUCACUGGCCCGGUACUGACGCUGAGGUGCGAUAGCGUGGGGAGCAAACAGG